This 501-nucleotide ribosomal RNA is filed under the name uncultured bacterium. RNAcentral's name for it is "partial 16S ribosomal RNA". It matches the Rfam family "Bacterial small subunit ribosomal RNA", at positions 30 to 523 of the family's 1533-position model. The record is from RNAcentral.
AUUGAACGCUGGCGGCAUGCCUUACACAUGCAAGUCGAACGGCAGCACGGGUGCUUGCACCUGGUGGCGAGUGGCGAACGGGUGAGUAAUAUAUCGGAACGUACCUUAUCGUGGGGGAUAACGCAGCGAAAGCUGUGCUAAUACCGCAUAAGCCCUAAGGGGGAAAGCAGGGGACCGUAAGGCCUUGCGCGAUUAGAGCGGCCGAUACCUGAUUAGCUAGUUGGUGAGGUAAAGGCUCACCAAGGCAACGACCAGUAGCUGGUCUGAGAGGCCGAUCAGCCACACUGGGACUGAGACACGGCCCAGACUCCUACGGGAGGCAGCAGUGGGGAAUUUUGGACAAUGGGGGCAACCCUGAUCCAGCAAUGCCGCGUGAGUGAAGAAGGCCUUCGGGUUGUAAAGCUCUUUUGUCAGGGAAGAAACAGCAGCUCUAAUACAGUAUGCGAAUGACGGUACCUGAAGAAUAAGCACCGGCUAACUACGUGCCAGCCGCCGCAGUAA